This 435-nucleotide ribosomal RNA is filed under the name uncultured bacterium. RNAcentral describes it as "partial 16S ribosomal RNA". It matches the Rfam family "Bacterial small subunit ribosomal RNA", at positions 29 to 507 of the family's 1533-position model. The record is from RNAcentral.
AGCGAGCGCUGGCGGCAGGCUUAACACAUGCAAGUCGAGCGGGCAUCUUCGGAUGUCAGCGGCAGACGGGUGAGUAACACGUGGGAACGUACCCUUCGGUUCGGAACAACUCUGGGAAACUGGAGCUAAUACCGGAUACGCCCUUAUGGGGAAAGGUUUACUGCCGAAGGAUCGGCCCGCGUCUGAUUAGCUGGUUGGUGGGGUAACGGCCUACCAAGGCGACGAUCAGUAGCUGGUCUGAGAGGAUGAUCAGCCACACUGGGACUGAGACACGGCCCAGACUCCUACGGGAGGCAGCAGUGGGGAAUAUUGGACAAUGGGCGCAAGCCUGAUCCAGCCAUGCCGCGUGAGUGAUGAAGGCCUUAGGGUUGUAAAGCUCUUUUGUCCGGGACGAUAAUGACGGUACCGGAAGAAUAAGCCCCGGCUAACUUCGUG